RNAcentral lists this long non-coding RNA (254 nucleotides) under Medicago truncatula (barrel medic). Its description in RNAcentral is "long non-coding RNA (MTRU_LNC007562)". The record is from RNAcentral. Lineage: Eukaryota; Viridiplantae; Streptophyta; Magnoliopsida; Fabales; Fabaceae.
ACCGCAUACAAGAGAACAGGAUUCGAGAAGAACAGAAAGCAAAUUCAUCAAAAUCCAAGGUAUCCGUAACUGAACCGAGGCAGAAACGCGAAGGAAGGAGAAGUGAACGGAGUCGAAACAACAUAACCAAGGGGUUAAAGCUCAGAUCCGCUUCAAAAGGUAAAAAGAGGUAAAAAAAUCCGUUUCUAUUUGUGUAGAUCUAGGACGAUUCAAGCUUGUUUUCAAAAUUCUGUUUGUGGAUUUGAACUUAGGAA